Ixodes scapularis (black-legged tick) is the source of this 658-nucleotide long non-coding RNA. RefSeq lists it as uncharacterized. The transcript has 3 exons. The record is from RefSeq and is a predicted model, not a curated record. Lineage: Eukaryota; Metazoa; Arthropoda; Arachnida; Ixodida; Ixodidae.
AAAGUGCAAGCUUUGCGACGCCCCGUUAACGUAGACUUUGUCGGAGAGUACUGCCAGGUUAUGAAACCACUUGCAGACGCACUGGAUAUUUUAUAAGGGGACAAAAACAUGUAUCUAGGAUACCUACUCCCCAUAAUUGCAGCACUGAAACGCAAGCUGACAUCACUACGUGGACUGGAGUACUGCGAGCCGCUGAAAACAAUUGAAUCGCAGAUCUCGAAAAACGGUUUGGUGACAGAAUGAGGGACACCCCACUCGUAGUCAACGCUGUGCUGUUGCUGCAGUUCAAGAUGCAGUGGAUCGCAGAAGCUCAGCGGGGGUUGAUCACUCAGCUAAUGAAAGAUGAAGUGGCGCGCCUGCCCCAAAAUGUCGAGCCCUCUACCCAGGCGUCGCCCGAAAGUGCUGAAACAUCAGCUGAAGAUUUUUUCGGCUUCAAAGACUUUGGGUUUGGGGAACAAGGGGAAUGAUGUGGUGCAUCACAAGAGCUGGCAAGAUAUCUGUCGGACACUGCCGGAAAAGGUCACGGACAUCCUCAACUACCCUUCUCUGCAUCAGCUCUUCUUGCGGUACAGCGUGGCAGUGCCGUCUCUAGUGCCGCGGUUGAGCAACUUUUUAGCAUAGGCGAUGUCUUCCAGCGCAAACGAGGACGGCUGUCUGA